This 317-nucleotide ribosomal RNA is filed under the name Metschnikowia reukaufii. Its description in RNAcentral is "partial large subunit ribosomal RNA". It matches the Rfam family "Eukaryotic large subunit ribosomal RNA", at positions 232 to 498 of the family's 3401-position model. Lineage: Eukaryota; Fungi; Ascomycota; Pichiomycetes; Serinales; Metschnikowiaceae. The record is from RNAcentral.
CCCCUUUUCCUUUUAUCCAUUCCCUCCAAAGAGUCGAGUUGUUUGGGAAUGCAGCUCUAAGUGGGUGGUAAAUUCCAUCUAAAGCUAAAUAUUGGCGAGAGACCGAUAGCGAACAAGUACAGUGAUGGAAAGAUGAAAAGCACUUUGAAAAGAGAGUGAAAAAGUACGUGAAAUUGUUGAAAGGGAAGGGCUUGCAAGCAGACACAACCUCGGUUGGGCCAGCAUCGGAGUGGGGGGAGACAAAAAAGAAAAGGAAUGUAACUCAUUCGAGUAUUAUAGCCUUUUUCUCAUAUCUCCACCCCCUUCCGAGGCCUGCG